Molecule: long non-coding RNA, 1906 nt
Filed under: Sus scrofa (pig)
Lineage: Eukaryota; Metazoa; Chordata; Mammalia; Artiodactyla; Suidae
Description: lncRNA (ENSSSCG00035000711.1)
Source: RNAcentral
CUCAAUGAAUUUAUUAUAUUUAUAGUUGUACAAUGAUCAUUACAUUCCAAUUUUAUAGGAUUUCCAUCCCACAACCCCAGCACAACUCCCCACCCCCUGAACUGUCUCCUUUGGAAACCAAAGUUCAUUGUGUCCUUUUUUCAGAUUCCACAUGUCAGUGAUAGCAUUUGACACUGGUGUCUCAUUGUCUGAUUUCACUUAGCAUGAUAAUUUCUAUGUCCAUCCAUGUUGCUAAAAAUGCCGGUAUUUUGUUCCUUUUAAUGGCUGAGUAAUAUUCCAUUGUGUAUAUGUACAACUUCUUCUUGUUCCACUCCUCUGUUGAUGGACAUUUAGGUUGUUUCCAUGUCUUGGCUAUUGAAAAUAGCGCUAAAAUGAACAUCAGAGAACAUGUGUCUUUGCCAGUCAUGGUUUUCUCUGGAUAGAUGCCCAGGAGUGGGAUUGCUGGAUCAAAUGGUAGUUCUAUGUUUAGUUUUCUGAGGAAUCUCCAUACUGUUUUCCACAGUGGUUGCACCAAUUUACAAUCCCACCAACAGUGUACUAGGGUUCCUUUUUCUCCACACCCUCUCCAGCACUUAUUAUUUAUACUUUUUGAUGAUGGCCAUUCUGGCUGGUGUAAGGCGGAACCUCAUAGUGGUUUUGAUUUGCAUUUCUCUAAUGAUGAGUGAUGUUGAACAUCUUUUCAUGUGUUUCUCGGCCAUCUGUAUGUCUUCUUUGGAGAAUUGUCUGUUUAGAUCUUCUGACCAUUUUUUUGAUGGGGUUGUUUGUUUGGUAUUGAGCAGUAGGAGGUGUUUAUAAAUUUUGGAGAUGAAUCCCAUGUCAGUUGAUUCACUUGCAAAGAUUUUCUCCCAUUCUGUGGGUUGUCUUUUCAUUUUGUUUAGGGUUACUUUUGCUGUGCAGAAACUUUUCAGUUUGAUUAGGUCCAUUUGUUUAUUUUUGUUUUUAUUGUCAAUACUCUAAGAGGUAGAUCUGAGAAGAUGUUGCUGUCGUUUAUGUCAGAGAGUGUUUGGCCUAUGUUUUCCUCUAGGAGUUUGAUAGUGUCUGGUCUUGUAUCUAGGUCCUUAAUCCAUUUUGAGUUUAUUUUUGUGUAUGGUGUUAGGAAGUGUUCUAAUUUCAUUCUUUUCCAUGUGGCUGUCCAGUUUUCCCAGCACCAUUUAUUGAACAGGCUCUCUUUUCUCCAUUGUAUAUUCUUGCCUCCUUUGUCAUAGAUGAGUUUGCUCUAGAUGAGUGGGUUGAAUUCUGGGCUUUCUAUCCUGUUCCACUGAUCUAUAUUUCUGUCUUUGUGCCAGUACCAUACAGUUUUGAUGACUGUUGCUUUGUAGUAUAGUCUGAAGUCAGGGAGCCUGAUUCUGUUUACCAUCACAUCCAAAAGAAUAAAAUACCUAGGAGUAAACCUACCUAAAGAGACAAAAGACCUGUACUCUGAAAACUAUAAGACACUGAUGAAAGAAAUCAAAGAUGACACAAAGAGAUGGAAAGUCAUACCAUGCUCUUGGAUUGGAAGAGUCAAUAUUACCAAUAUGACUAUACUACCCAAGGCAGUCUACAGAUUCAAUGCAAUCCCUUUCAAAUUACUAAGGACAUUUUUCACAGAACUCGAACAAAAUAUUUUAAAGUUUGUUUGGAAGCACAAAAGACCCAGAAUACCCAAAGACAUUCUGUCCUGAUAAUUUUAAAGGCUGUAUUUUGUAAGUAAAAAAAGUGCAUGGCUGGGCAAAGAGAAAGACUGCAUAUAACCUCUGUCUUCCUUGCUGCUUUUCCAUCAUUAGCUUUUUGUGGCACUUACAGGGAUUUUCAGAAAUUUGUUGAAAGCUUUGUCAGGAAUAGCUAAUGUUCAGCAAAUGUUACUUUGAAGUGUAUUUGAUUAUGCUUUUUCUGAGACAGAUUAUUUCAAUAAUUCCAACAGUAU